Molecule: ribosomal RNA, 440 nt
Filed under: uncultured bacterium
Lineage: Bacteria
Description: partial 16S ribosomal RNA
Rfam family: Bacterial small subunit ribosomal RNA
Source: RNAcentral
CCUACGGGUGGCUGCAGUAGGGAAUAUUGCUCAAUGGGGGAAACCCUGAAGCAGCAACGCCGCGUGGAGGAUGAAGGUUUUAGGAUUGUAAACUCCUUUUGUUAGAGAAGAUUAUGACGGUAUCUAACGAAUAAGCACCGGCUAACUCCGUGCCAGCAGCCGCGGUCAUACGGAGGAUGCAAGCGUUACCCGGAAUCACUGGGCGUAAAGAGUGCGUAGGCGGGGAAAUAAGUUAGAUGUGAAAUCCUGUAGCUUAACUACAGAACUGCAUUUGAAACUGUUACUCUGGAGAGUGGGAGAGGUAGGUGGAAUUCUUGGUGUAGGAGUAAAAUCCGUAGAGAUCAGGAGGAAUACUCAUUGCGAAGGCGAGCUGCUGGAACAUUACUGACGCUGAUGCACGAAAGCGUAGGGAGCAAACGGGAUUAGAUACCCUUGUAGUC